This 1503-nucleotide ribosomal RNA is filed under the name Triticum aestivum (bread wheat). RNAcentral describes it as "partial small subunit ribosomal RNA". Lineage: Eukaryota; Viridiplantae; Streptophyta; Magnoliopsida; Poales; Poaceae. The record is from RNAcentral.
AUGACCUUCGCCGGCAGCGGCGAUGGCCAGAGUGGCUCCGCGAGGGCGCACUUCGUGCUGGUACCGAUGAUGGCUCAGGGCCAUACCAUCCCCAUGACCGACAUGGCACGCCUGCUGGCAGAGCAUGGCAUGCAGGUCAGCUUCAUCACCACGCCCGUCAACGCCGCUAGGUUGGAGGGCUUCACCGCUGACGUGAAGGCGGCGGGCCUGGCGGUUCAGCUCGUGGAGCUCCACUUCCCGACAGCGGAGUUCGGCCUACCAGACGGGUGCGAGAACCUCGACAUGAUCCAAUCAAAGAAUUUGUUCCUGAACUUCAUGGAGACCUGUGCCGCGCUUCAGGAGCCGCUCAUGGCAUACCUCCGUGAGCAGCAGCGCUCGCCUCCUAGCUGCAUCAUAUCUGACAUGAUGCACUGGUGGACCGGCGACAUUGCAAGGGAGCUUGGCAUCCCGAGGCUCACCUUUAGUGGCUUUUGUGGCUUCUCGUCCCUUGUCAGACCAUCUUGCAGGUACAUCAUUAUUCACAAGAAUGUACUGGAGCAUGUCACAGAUGAUAAUGAGCUCAUCACGAUCCCGGGGUUUCCUACACCGCUAGAGUUGAUGAAGGCUAAGUUGCCAGGAACCCUUUCUGUUCCGGGUAUGGAGCAAAUCCAUGAGAAGAUGUUUGAGGAGGAGCUGAGAUGCGAUGGUGAGAUCACUAAUAGCUUCAAAGAGCUCGAGGCAUUGUACAUUGAAUCCUUUGAGCAGAUAACAAGGAAGAAGGUCUGGACAGUCGGGCCAAUGUGCCUCUGCCACCGAAGCAGCAACACAAUGGCCGCUAGGGGUAACAAGGCGUCAAUGGACGAGGCACAGUGCUUGCAAUGGCUUGAUUCAAGGAAGCCAGGCUCAGUGAUCUUUGUAAGCUUUGGCAGCCUCGCUUGCACCACGCCUCAACAACUUGUUGAGCUGGGAAUGGGACUCGAAGCCUCUAAGAAACCGUUUAUUUGGGUGAUCAAAGCAGGACCUAAGUUUCCAGAAGUCGAGGAAUGGCUCGCAGAUGGGUUCGAGGAGCGCGUCAAAGACAGAGGCAUGAUCAUAAGAGGCUGGGCGCCACAGGUGAUGAUCCUGUGGCACCAAGCCAUUGGAGGAUUUGUUACGCACUGUGGGUGGAACUCAACAAUAGAGGGCAUCUGUGCAGGUGUGCCCAUGAUCACAUGGCCACACUUUGCAGAGCAGUUUUUGAAUGAGAAGCUGGUGGUGGAUGUGCUGAAACUUGGGGUAGAGGUUGGAGUGCAAGGAGUUCCACAGUGGGGAAGUGAACAACAAGAGGUUAUGGUUACCAGAGAUGCUGUGGAGACAGCAGUGAACACCCUGAUGGGUGAAGGGGAGGCUACAGAGGAGUUGAGAAUGAGAGCAGAAGAGUGCGCCAUUAUGGCAAGGAGGGCUUUCGACGAGGAAGGUUCUUCUUACAACAACGUAAGGCUGUUAAUUCAAGAAAUGAGAAACAAGACAAAUGCAUGUCGUUGA